CACAGCUUGACUGUGUUCAGCUAUGUAAGAACAUAGGCACAGUGGCUCAUGCCUGUAACCCCAGCACUUUGGGAGGCCAAGGCAGGUGGAUAGCUUAGGGUCAGGAGUUCGAGACCAGCCUGGCCAACAUGGUCAAACCCCGUCUCUACCAAAAAUACAAAAAUUAGCCAAGUGUAAUGGGUUCCUGUAGUCCUAGCUACUCAGGAGGCUGAGGCAUGAGAAUUGCUUAAACCCAGGAGGCAGAGGUUGCAGUGAGCUGAGAUCAUGCCACUACACUCCAGCCUGGGCAACAGAGGGAUAUCUUUGGUUGCUGAAUUGAGAGUAGACAAUACAGGAGCAAGAGUGGACACAAGAGACCAGGGCUCACACUCAGGUUUACCUGGAAGUGAUGAAGGCUGAUUGGAUGACUAACUAAAGGCCUAGAAGUGGUGAGCAAGGGCAAUGCCCACCAUGAAAUUGAAACUCCUGUCUUAGCUGAUCCUGUGGGACAAUGCCUGAUAGAAAUCAGGCGUUUUAAAACAAGUGCUGUGAGUACUACUUCUUUUUCAUGCCAAAGAUGUUGCCACUUUUAUUGUAUAAUAUUAACACGCAUUAUAAGACAGACCACAUUUCACACUUAAGUGAAGGAAAUACCCACAUCCCAAAAAAACAACUUCAAAAGGAUCUUCCUUAAUAAUAUUUGUUCAGAACAACAAAAUUACAGUAGUAGCAUCUACUAGAUAGUAGAUGCUAUUUUUCUAGUAUCUACUAGAUGCUAUUGUAUAGUGCAUGGAAUUUUAGCCAAAUUAAAAAAUAAUAAACUUUAUUUAUUCUAUUUUAUUUAUUUUGAAAUGGAGCCUCUCUCUGAUGCCCAGGCUGGAGUGCAGUGGCUCAAUCUCGGUUCACUGCAACCUCUGCCUCCCCAGUUCAAGUGAUUCUCAUGCCUCAGCUUUCCAAGUAGCUGGGAUUACAAGUGCAUGCCACUGCAUCUGGCCAAUUUUUUGUACUUUUAAUAGAGACAGGGUUUCACCAUGUUGUCCAGGCUGAUCUCGAACUCCUGACCUCAGGUGAUCCACCCACCUCAGCCUUCCAAAAUGUUGGGAUUACAGGUGUGAGCUAUCACACUCAACCAGAAGAAACUUUAGAAUAAGAAAUUUUAGGGUGCCUAAACAGAAUUGUAGAUAGCUUGCUUUCUAACUUUAACAAACAGGAAUAUUUUUUUCAAGUAUUUUUAUUUAUUCAGAGUUGUUGCAAGGACAAACGGUUGUAGCCAGUUGAUAAAGUGUUGCCAAUGACCAUUUGGUGGCCGUUUUGUGAUUCCAGUGGGGCUCUGGAAGAAAAAGAGCUGUGGGGAGAAAAGGAAGGGGCUACCAUAUUCUUUACCUAAGUUAAUUCCUUCCUAAGCUAAGAAGUUUGUGUAGCUCUUCUCUGAGAGUUAUCUUCUAAGAACCUUUUCCAAGUUGAAAUUUCCUGCCAGUUGAUAAACGACACCAUUGAAUAAGUAGUUGCUAUGAUGUGAAUGUGUACUUUCAAAAUUCAUAAGUCAAAAUCCUCACUCCCAAGGUGAUGAUAUUAAACGGUAAGGCUGGCAGGGAGCAGAGGCUCAUGCCUGUAAUCCCAGCACUUUAGGAGGCCCAGGUGGGUGGAUCACUUGAGGUCAGGCGUUCCAGACUAGCCUGGCCAACAUGGUGAAAUGCUGUCUCUACUAAAAAUACGAAAAUUAGUCUGGGCACGGUGGCCCAUGCCUGUAAUCUUAGUACUUUGGCAGGCCGAGGCGGGGGGAUCACCUGAGGUCAAGAGUUCGAGACCAGCCUGGCCAACAUGGUGAAAUCCCGUCUCUACCAAAAAUACAAAAAUCAGCUGGGUGUGGUGGCGCACGCCUGUAAUUUCAGCUACUCGGGAGGCUGAGGCAGGAGAAUUGGCUUAACCCAGGAGGCGGAGGUUGUAGUGAGCCGAGAUGGCGCCACUGCACUCCAUCCUGGGUGAGAAAGUAAGACUCCAUCUCCAAAAAAAAAACAAAACAAAAAUCAGCCAGACGUGGUGGCACUUUCCUGUAAUCCCAGCUACUCAGGAGAAGCACUUGAACC
This is a long non-coding RNA of Callithrix jacchus (white-tufted-ear marmoset), 2066 nucleotides long. RefSeq lists it as uncharacterized. The record is from RefSeq and is a predicted model, not a curated record. NCBI's taxonomy places the organism in Eukaryota, Metazoa, Chordata, Mammalia, Primates, Cebidae.